GGCUUCCAACAGGAAAUUACAUUAAAUACCAACAAGAUUGAUCAGCUCAUUGUGUUUGGGGAGCAGCUGAUUCAGAAGAGCGAGCCCCUGGAUGCCGUGCUGAUUGAGGAUGAGCUGGAGGAACUCCACCGCUACUGCCAGGAGGUGUUCGGAAGGGUCUCCCGGUUCCACCGGCGGCUCACCUCCUGCACUCCGGGCUUGGAAGAUGAAAAGGAGGCCUCUGAGAAUGAAACGGACAUGGAAGACGCCAGAGAGAUCCAGACUAAUUCUUGGCGUAAACGGGCAGAGAGCGAGGAACCAUCAUCUCCUCAGUCCCUGUGUCAUCUAGUGGCCCCGGGGCACGAGCGGUCUGGCUGCGAGACCCCUGUCAGCGUGGACUCCAUCCCCCUGGAGUGGGACCACACAGGCGACGUGGGGGGCUCCUCCUCUCACGAAGAGGACGAGGAGGGCCCAUACUACAGCGCACUGUCAGGUAACAACUGGGUUCCCAGCACCCUGGAAAGUGACCCGUUUGGCUAUGUUUUUA
This 526-nucleotide small RNA is filed under the name Pongo abelii (Sumatran orangutan). RNAcentral describes it as "retained intron". The record is from RNAcentral. Lineage: Eukaryota; Metazoa; Chordata; Mammalia; Primates; Hominidae.